This 279-nucleotide ribosomal RNA is filed under the name uncultured bacterium. RNAcentral describes it as "partial 16S ribosomal RNA". It matches the Rfam family "Bacterial small subunit ribosomal RNA", at positions 524 to 794 of the family's 1533-position model. The record is from RNAcentral.
GACGAACUGUGCAAACGUUAUUCGGAAUCACUGGGCUUGAAGAGUGCGUAGGCGGUUUCGUAAGUAGGGUGUGAAAAGCCCCCGGCUCAACCGGGGAAACGUUGCGCCCGUAAACCUAGCGAGGCUGGAGUGAGGUAGGGGUGGUGUGGAACUUCCAGUGGAGCGGUGAAAUGCGUAGAGAUCUGGAGGAAUACCGAUGGCGAAGGCGGCCCCCUCGGAGAAGACUGACGCUCAGGUGCGAAAGCGUGGGGAGCAAACAGGAUUAGAUACCCUGGUAGU